RNAcentral lists this ribosomal RNA (465 nucleotides) under uncultured bacterium. Its description in RNAcentral is "partial 16S ribosomal RNA". It matches the Rfam family "Bacterial small subunit ribosomal RNA", at positions 28 to 507 of the family's 1533-position model. The record is from RNAcentral.
GACGAACGCUGGCGGCGUGCUUAACACAUGCAAGUCGAACGGAAAGGCCCCUUCGGGGGUACUCGAGUGGCGAACGGGUGAGUAACACGUGAGUAACCUGCCCUUGACUUCGGGAUAACUUCAGGAAACUGGGGCUAAUACCGGAUAGGAAUCCUUGCCGCAUGGUGGGGGUUGGAAAGCUUCGGCGGUUUUGGAUGGACUCGCGGCUUAUCAGCUUGUUGGUGGGGUAGUGGCUUACCAAGGCGUUGACGGGUAGCCGGCCUGAGAGGGCGACCGGCCACAUUGGGACUGAGAUACGGCCCAGACUCCUACGGGAGGCAGCAGUGGGGAAUAUUGCACAAUGGGCGGAAGCCUGAUGCAGCAACGCCGCGGGCGGGAUGACGGCCUUCGGGUUGUAAACCGCUUUCAGCAGGGGCGAAGCUUGUGGUGACGGUACCUGCAGAAGAAGCACCGGCUAACUACGUG